RNAcentral lists this ribosomal RNA (540 nucleotides) under uncultured eukaryote. RNAcentral's name for it is "SSU rRNA". It matches the Rfam family "Eukaryotic small subunit ribosomal RNA", at positions 202 to 746 of the family's 1831-position model. The record is from RNAcentral.
UGUAUUUAUUAGAUAAAAAACCAAUGCCCUUCGGGGCUUUUUGGUGAUUCAUGAUAACUUUACGGAUCGCAUAGCCUUGCGCUGGCGACGGUUCAUUCAAAUUUCUGCCCUAUCAACUUUCGAUGGUAAGGUAUUGGCUUACCGUGGUUUCAACGGGUAACGGGGAAUUAGGGUUCGAUUCCGGAGAGGGAGCCUGAGAAACGGCUACCACAUCCAAGGAAGGCAGCAGGCGCGCAAAUUACCCAAUCCCGACACGGGGAGGUAGUGACAAUAAAUACUGAUACAGGGCUCUUUUGGGUCUUGUAAUUGGAAUGAGUACAAUUUAAACCUCUUAACGAGGAACAAUUGGAGGGCAAGUCUGGUGCCAGCAGCCGCGGUAAUUCCAGCUCCAAUAGCGUAUAUUAAAGUUGUUGCAGUUAAAAAGCUCGUAGUUGAAACUUGGGCCUGGCUGGCGGGUCCGCCUCACCGCGUGCACUCGUCCGGCCGGGCCUUCCUUCUGAAGAACCUCAUGCCCUUCACUGGGCGUGCUGGGGAACCAGG